RNAcentral lists this transfer RNA (68 nucleotides) under Marmota monax (woodchuck). RNAcentral describes it as "tRNA.Thr". The stretch from base 3 to 63 matches the Rfam family "tRNA", at positions 6 to 65 of the family's 71-position model. Rfam says of the family: Transfer RNA (tRNA) molecules are approximately 80 nucleotides in length. The record is from RNAcentral. Lineage: Eukaryota; Metazoa; Chordata; Mammalia; Rodentia; Sciuridae.
GUUGUGGCUCAGCGGUAGAAUGCUCGCCUAGUACGUGAGAGGCCCUGAGUUUGAUCCUCAGCACCACA